GAGGGUGGCGCCGAGGGGUCGUGAAGCUAGGAACUGGGUCGUUUCCGUCCACUCUCUGAGUCAACCCCAUCCUGGCCGACCCUGCUGUUCCCACAAGACCUGUCCGGCCCUGUCCCACCCCCCGCGCUCCAGGUCCGUCCUCUUGGGAUCCAAACCCGGACCACCGUGGGAUCCUGCCCCUCCCACCCUUUUCCUCUUGAGCCUCCCCUCCUGUGGCUGGCCCGCUCUCCUCCUCCAGCCCUGCCCCCUUUCUGCUGCCACGCUCGCUUGCACUCACCUCUCCUUGGUCCUCGCACAUUCUUUCCCCUUCACCUCUGUACCUGCCACCUCGCUGCCCCGAAACUCCCCUCUGGGUCACCUUUUUUAGAGCCUUUUCACCUGCCAGGAGCGUCCAGAUUGUGUCCUUCCCCCACCCUUACUUCACUGUCUCUAAUCCGAGCUGCAGGGGGUGGGGAGGAGGAGGCACUGAGGGGCGAGGGUCAGUGGGUGAACUUUGAAUCUGCUUCUGGAAGCGUACACCAGGUUUCCCCCCAAAGCAGCCCUGUGCUGUUUUCCCCAGCUGUGGCCAUUUGCUUUUCCAUCGCCCCGGGCUGCCCCCUUGCUUGCUGAGACUUUGUUAAACUUCUUCUCAGCAGAGUUACAGUGUUCGUAUUGGCAGUAAACAAGAAGAUAUCUAGGCUACUAGUUUGCCCCAAGCACGUGCCAGGGACUAAACAAAUCUGAAACAGAGGAAACAGAAACCAUAAAGUGAGAACUUCCUCAACUUCCUACUAGCAAACCUACAAAACUGAUCCAAAGUGAUGGCUAAGUAGAGAAGAAAGUAGGAAUGAAUCAAGCAAGGGAAUGAAGAAAUUUCAGGCAAGAAGCAGCAGCCUGUGCAAGAACAAAGAGAGCUCAAACUAUGUUCCAAAUGGCAGGAACAUAGCACAGAGGAACCUAUGAAACUAGAGAAGUAAAGAUACUAUAAAGACCCUCUGGCUAUGAGAUGGAAACUAGGUUCACAAGAUUGAAGAUUGAAAUCCAGGUUAGAGACAAUGAUGGUACGGGUGAUGGCAGGAGGGGUAAAGGAAAAGGGGUGUAGUCAAAGAUUUCUGGGGGAACAAAUUGCCUGGACUUAAUUUAUUCACUGUGAAGAGAAAGGGAGGAGUUGGGAUGACAUUCAGGUUUCUGGUUGGGCAACUAGGUGAACAGUAAGCAGUCCCAUUCACUGCAAGGUGGCCUAUAGGAAGCAGAAAAGUUGGUGGGAAGAAGAAUUCAGCUUUUUCAACCUGUACCUAAAUAAUAAGUAGAGAUAGAGCAAAGAUAGUUAUGUGGAUAUUACCUGAAGAGGAAGAUUCUGGCUAGGAACUACAAAUUUGGGCAUCAUCAGGAUCUAACUAUUUAAGCCACAGGAGGAGAUAAAAUCACUCAAGGAGAGUAUGCAGCAUAAGAAGAAAAGAAGGCCUAAGACCCAAUUCAAAGUGGCCAGGCAGAGGAGAAUGAACUAGAAAAGAAGGCAGAGAAAUAGCCCAAGAGAAAGAAGAGAUACCCGAGUAUCACAGAA
Molecule: long non-coding RNA, 1543 nt
Organism: Myotis lucifugus (little brown bat)
Lineage: Eukaryota; Metazoa; Chordata; Mammalia; Chiroptera; Vespertilionidae
Exons: 3
Source: RefSeq, a predicted model, not a curated record